GACGAACGCUGGCGGCGUGCCUAAUACAUGCAAGUCGAGCGGACGAAUCGAAAGCUUGCUUUUGAUUCGUUAGCGGCGGACGGGUGAGUAACACGUGGUCAACCUGCCCUGUAGACGGGGAUAACACCGAGAAAUCGGUGCUAAUACCGGAUAACACGAAAUGUCGCAUGACGUCUCGUUGAAAGACGGCGCAUGCUGCCGCUACAGCAUGGGCACGCGGCGCAUUAGCUAGGUGGUGAGGUAACGGCUCACCAAGGCGGCGAUACGUAGCCGACCUGAGAGGGUGAUCGGCCACACGGGGACUGAGACACGGCCCCGACUCCUGCGGGAGGCAGCAGUAGGGAAUCUUCCGCAAGGGACGAAAGUCUGACGGAGCAACGCCGCGUGAGCGAAGAAGGCCUUCGGGUCGUAAAGCUCUGUUGUUAGGGAAGAACAAGUAACGCAGUAACUGGCGUUACCGUGACGGUACCUAACGAGAAAGCCACGGCUAACUACGUG
RNAcentral lists this ribosomal RNA (498 nucleotides) under uncultured bacterium. RNAcentral's name for it is "partial 16S ribosomal RNA". It matches the Rfam family "Bacterial small subunit ribosomal RNA", at positions 28 to 507 of the family's 1533-position model. The record is from RNAcentral.